Molecule: non-coding RNA, 45 nt
Organism: Heligmosomoides polygyrus
Lineage: Eukaryota; Metazoa; Nematoda; Chromadorea; Rhabditida; Heligmosomidae
Source: Rfam
CCAACGGCCCUCUUUAGGGCCACACAGGUCUCAUGCGAAUCUCAU